Molecule: ribosomal RNA, 253 nt
Filed under: uncultured bacterium
Lineage: Bacteria
Description: partial 16S ribosomal RNA
Rfam family: Bacterial small subunit ribosomal RNA
Source: RNAcentral
GACGGAGGAUGCAAGCGUUAUCCGGAAUGAUUGGGCGUAAAGCGUCCGCAGGUGGCAGUUCAAGUCUGCUGUCAAAGACCGGGGCUUAACUUCGGAAAGGCAGUGGAAACUGAACAGCUAGAGUAUGGUAGGGGCAGAGGGAAUUCCUGGUGUAGCGGUGAAAUGCGUAGAGAUCAGGAGGAACACCCGUGGCGAAGGCGGCACGCUGGGCCGGCCCUGACGCUGAGGCGCGAAAGCGUGGGGAGCGAACGGG